Molecule: ribosomal RNA, 1465 nt
Filed under: metagenome
Description: bacterial SSU rRNA
Rfam family: Bacterial small subunit ribosomal RNA
Source: RNAcentral
AGAGUUUGAUCCUGGCUCAGAUUGAACGCUGGCGGCAUGCCUUACACAUGCAAGUCGAACGGCAGCGCGGGGCAACCUGGCGGCGAGUGGCGAACGGGUGAGUAAUAUAUCGGAACGUACCCUGGAGUGGGGGAUAACGUAGCGAAAGUUACGCUAAUACCGCAUACGAUCUAAGGAUGAAAGCAGGGGACCGCAAGGCCUUGUGCUCCUGGAGCGGCCGAUAUCUGAUUAGCUAGUUGGUGGGGUAAAGGCCCACCAAGGCAUCGAUCAGUAGCUGGUCUGAGAGGACGACCAGCCACACUGGAACUGAGACACGGUCCAGACUCCUACGGGAGGCAGCAGUGGGGAAUUUUGGACAAUGGGCGCAAGCCUGAUCCAGCAAUGCCGCGUGAGUGAAGAAGGCCUUCGGGUUGUAAAGCUCUUUUGUCAGGGAAGAAACGGCCUGUUCUAAUACAGUGGGCUAAUGACGGUACCUGAAGAAUAAGCACCGGCUAACUACGUGCCAGCAGCCGCGGUAAUACGUAGGGUGCAAGCGUUAAUCGGAAUUACUGGGCGUAAAGCGUGCGCAGGCGGUUUUGUAAGUCUGUCGUGAAAUCCCCGGGCUCAACCUGGGAAUGGCGAUGGAGACUGCAAGGCUAGAGUUUGGCAGAGGGGGGUAGAAUUCCACGUGUAGCAGUGAAAUGCGUAGAUAUGUGGAGGAACACCGAUGGCGAAGGCAGCCCCCUGGGUCAAAACUGACGCUCAUGCACGAAAGCGUGGGGACAAACAGGAUUAGAUACCCUGGUAGUCCACGCCCUAAACGAUGUCUACUAGUUGUCGGGUCUUAAUUGACUUGGUAACGCAGCUAACGCGUGAAGUAGACCGCCUGGGGAGUACGGUCGCAAGAUUAAAACUCAAAGGAAUUGACGGGGACCCGCACAAGCGGUGGAUGAUGUGGAUUAAUUCGAUGCAACGCGAAAAACCUUACCUACCCUUGACAUGGAAGGAAUCCCGGAGAGAUUUGGGAGUGCCCGAAAGGGAACCUUUACACAGGUGCUGCAUGGCUGUCGUCAGCUCGUGUCGUGAGAUGUUGGGUUAAGUCCCGCAACGAGUGCAACCCUUGUCAUUAGUUGCUACGAAAGAGCACUCUAAUGAGACUGCCGGUGACAAACCGGAGGAAGGUGGGGAUGACGUCAAGUCCUCAUGGCCCUUAUGGGUAGGGCUUCACACGUCAUACAAUGGUACAUACAGAGGGCCGCCAACCCGCGAGGGGGAGCUAAUCCCAGAAAGUGUAUCGUAGUCCGGAUUGUAGUCUGCAACUCGACUGCAUGAAGUUGGAAUCGCUAGUAAUCGCGGAUCAGCAUGUCGCGGUGAAUACGUUCCCGGGUCUUGUAGACACCGCCCGUCACACCAUGGGAGUUGAUUGCACCAGAAGUAGGUAGCCUAACCGCAAGGAGGGCGCUUACCACGGUGUGGUCAAUGACUG